AGAGAGAGACAUGCGCGCAUAUCAAUAAGCGGAGGAAAAGAAACUAACAAGGAUUCCCCUAGUAACGGCGAGUGAAGCGGGAAGAGCUCAAAUUUGAAAUCUUAAAGGGUUUCCCUUUACGAAUUGUAGUUUAAAGAAGUGUUUUCUGUUGAGGUUUUGGUAAAAGUUCUUUGGAAUAGGACAUCAUAGAGGGAUGAGAAUCCCGUAUUUGACCUUUACUUUCAACUUUGUGAUACACUUUCAAAGAGUCGGAUUGUUUGGGAAUGCAGUCCAAAAUGGGUGGUAAAUUUCAUCUAAAGCUAAAUAUUGGCGAGAGACCGAUAGCGAACAAGUACCGUGAGGGAAAGAUGAAAAGAACUUUGAAAAGAGAGUUAAACAGUACGUGAAAUUGUCAAAAGGGAAGCGUUUGACACCAGUGUUGCUUUUCUGAAAAUCAAUUAAAGAACUGUUUAUGCUAAGUUGUUUAGACUUUAUCAGCUAUCUGUUUAGUUUUGAGCUUUUCUUUAAUGCACUUUUCAGUUAACAAGUCAACAUCAAUUUCUUUUGCUGUAAAAAAGCUUGAGGAAGGUGGCUUGAGAUUCGUCUUAAGUGUUUAUAGCCUCUUGCCUAUGCAGUCGGAGAGAUUGAGGUCUGCAGCGUAGAUCCUUCGGGGCUAAAUGCAUUUGUGCUAAGUUAUAGCAUUUUAUAGACAACUUGUUGACUAUGAUUUGUCUUGUAGCUUACUCGCUUAUGUUAUUUUACCUACGCUUAGGAUGUUGAGCGCAUGUCUCUCUCU
This 775-nucleotide ribosomal RNA is filed under the name uncultured Neocallimastigales. Its description in RNAcentral is "partial large subunit ribosomal RNA". It matches the Rfam family "Eukaryotic large subunit ribosomal RNA", at positions 23 to 616 of the family's 3401-position model. The record is from RNAcentral. Lineage: Eukaryota; Fungi; Neocallimastigomycota; Neocallimastigomycetes; Neocallimastigales.